Molecule: non-coding RNA, 6319 nt
Organism: Heterocephalus glaber (naked mole-rat)
Lineage: Eukaryota; Metazoa; Chordata; Mammalia; Rodentia; Bathyergidae
Source: RefSeq, a predicted model, not a curated record
AAUGGCAAUGAAAGGAAAUUAAGGUUGGCUGAGUCCUCCCCUGUAUGUUAGAUUUCCCUUUGUGCCACUUGAUCUUUGCCUCCCUCCCCUGCUGUGUUCUUAAUUACCAGCUUCGUUCCACAGGUGAGGCCCUAGGUCAGGCCCAGGGAGCUGGCAGAGCCGCUAGAAGCCAGGCUUAUCUCCUGGAGGUGGCAGGAAACCUAGGGUGUGUCAGCGCUGAAGUGGCCUUUGCCACGGGCUCUAGGGCACCCUGCCAUAGUGGGGGAUGUACCUGUCUGCUAGAAUUCCUGCUGGCAGGCAACAGAAAUGGGCUCCGGUGUCUGCGGGCAGAAUAGGAGUUUCUGGAAAGCCCAUUGGGCAGCAGCCGGAACGGACUAGACAGAGAAAGCCAGGCUAAGACAGACACAGGGCAGGGUGGCCCUGGCCUUCCUGGGCUGAACCCCCUCCACUACCUCUCUGCUUAGGGCUGCUUUUGAAGCCCAAGACCUGCACAGUCCCUGUCCCCAUUGCAGGUGGGAGGCAGGUGCUUUCUUGGAAAGUUUCAGAGUGCUGGGCUGUGGCGAGGGCUUUUUAUUUUUUUUUUUUGGUACUGGGGAUCGAACUCCGGUCCUUGUGCUUGCACAGCAGGCGUCGAAACCACUGAGCUAAAUCCCCGGCCCCAUGGCCAGGACUUUUUAAAGGACACACAGAGAGGGAGCUGAGGGGACCCCCCCAGGAGAAGCAGCGGCUCUGGUUUUCACACUGCAGUUUUGCUCCCGGCCCUUGGUGUGAGUCACAUGUGAAAGUAUCUUGUUUUGCUAGGCCUGUGUCUGCUGCUGCCACCACCGUCACAGAAGCUGUCACUUCUAGGCAGGAGGCCCUAGGCUGGUCCCAGACUGCAGGGAAGCCAGAUCUAGAUGAGGGGCCGACCCUGUCUGUCUGCCACCAGAUGCUGCUGCCGUGGGAGCAAAGCAAGCCUGGCUGGUGGGAUUUUCCUCCUUUGCAACAGAUGCAAAUGUGAUGCAAAUGAUAUGCAGAGAAUGGGGGGACUGAACAGCUGGAAAGCUCUGUGCUGUUCCUUGAAACUGACCACCUCUUCUUGUCCUGACUGUUGCUGGGGUUUGCGCCCCUGGACAGUUGGUACCUUCUGCAGGCCCCCAACGUUAAUGCUAGAUGAACAAAUGAAAAGCAAAUUAGCAAAACAGAGUGCAGUGGAGCACACCUGUGAUCCUGGCAUUCCAGAGGCUGAGACAGGAGGAUUGCUUGAGCCUAGGAGUUUGAAACCAGCAAGACCCUUCUCAAACACAAACAAAAAGCAUCCUGCUGCGGUGGCUUGCUCACCUGUCGCUGUGCACAGGCCCAGCCACAGAGGCCGGAGCACAAGGGCAUGCUGGAUGGACCAGGGCAGGCCAGUGCAGCAGCAAGGUCUGGCCCCUCCUCACUCAGUGUCAACCCCCAGGCCUGAGGUGUCCAUGGGCUUCCAGGAGGCAGUAACUUCCCCAUGCCAGUGCCCCACCAACGUGACAUCACCUGAACAUGUAGUGAAGAGAAUUUGUGUUUUCAAAAGCCUUUUUCCCCUGGACCCUCUGUGAACUGAGUUGCCAUGGAAAUACACUGGAGGCAAACAGAGCUAAUGAGCUUGGUUGGGACUUUUGCCUUCUUGAAUGUUUUCCAUUCUGAGCUUUAAUUAGAGAGAUUAUUGAGGGUGGACUUUUUCUUUUAUUGUGAAUUAAUUUUAAAGCCAGGUUCUGAGGUUAAAUAAUGAUUUCAUUUGUUAAUCAACUGCACUUGGGUCUCCUUCCAAAAGGAAACAAGAUGGGCCAGGGAUUUAGCUCAGUGGUUCCGGCGCCUGCCUCGCAAGCACAAGGUCCCAAGUUUGAUCCCCGGUACCAAAAAAAAAAAAAAAACCAAAAGGAAACAAGAUGCCAUUGUGGGAAUGUUGGAAACUGGGUGUCUGAGACCGUGGGGGUUUUGCUGGCUGCAGUGAUGUCAGGGGUCCGGACAGUCAGUUCUCACGGGUGCCAUGGCUUUGAUAGACAAGGAUUCACCUUGGGAAGGGUCUUGACUGCGGUAGUGGUGGGGAUGUACAGGAGGGAGCUCGGACUGGGUCCCUGGAAUCCCACUGCUUCCGGAAGGAAGUUGCAAGCCCCUCUGGAGGCUUCAGCUUCCCUGCUGGAGCCCGUAAAUGUCCGCACAGAGAUAGUGGCCUGAGGAGGGGCUGCAGGGAGGCCUCAGGACAGGCUGUUGGGCUUGCAGCGGCUCGGGCUUGCGCACUGUCUCUGUUAGAGUAACUUCCGGUGUUUUCCUCAGGCUCUGUCCAGCUCGGGCCAUCGGCAUUUGGGGCCGAAUCGUUCUUUGCUGUAGGGCCGGCCUGCGCAUCGUAGGCUGUUUAGCCGAAUCUCUGGCCUCUGCCCCCAGAUGCAGGGGCACUGUCCUUCCUGUGACCCCCCCCCCCAAUGCCGUGACCACCAAAAGUGUCUCUGGACAUCGCCAAAUGUCCUCUUGGGGACAAAAUUACCUCCAAUCAAGGACUACUGCAUUAAAAUAUAGUAUGUAUUCAUCAUUGAAAAUAUACAUAAAUGUAGACAAUAAGAUGAAAAAGCAACCUGUAAUUCCAGUAACCAGAGUUAACUACUGCCAGGCUUUAGGUGUUCUUCUUUCCCUACUUACUUUUCCUUGCAUUUUUGCUUUUUCAUAAAACUGAGGCUUCCCCGGGUGUGUGGUUUGCAGCCUGGCAGCCUGGGGCCUGGGGGCCGCAGACCUUACCGCUCUUCCCAGAUCUCUCCUGCACCUCCUCUUGAGCUGCGUCGGCGACGGCGCUGUCCAGAACGGGUCACUGGAGGGCGAGGAGCAUGGUGGGAGCUCAGCAGGACCUCAUCUUCAACCGGUUGCUCUGCAGAGGUGGUCUUGCUCGGGUGGACUCCCAGCCUCCCGUGCAUUGCUCAUGAGUAGGUCCGCUCCAGGCCGAGACUGUCAGAAGCUCUCAGGAGGAGUGGGAGGGAGGUUCAGACUUGUGAGGAGCUGAGGAAAGUAGCUCCUUCCCAGGAAAAAGGGCCACAUCUGCCCAGUUCUGCAUCCCAUCCCAGGGAUCCCUGGUAGCAACUUCUGGGCAUGGGGAAUUUUUUCCUGAGGACUUGUAAUGUCCUAGGGACUCACCCCUCUCUUCCAGGAAUAUCUGUCCAGGCCCUAGGAAGGCUCCGAUCCCAACUUUCCCCAUUACGUGGGUGGUAACGUGAGACACAGCAGCAGUGGGAUUGAGGCCGGGGCCCAACACUGAGAUACAUUCCUGUUCGUUUUUAAAAAGCUUGCGAUGCAGGUUCUGGCUAAGUCACUAAAUUGCCCUAGCUGGGCUAGAACUCGAGAUCCUUCUGCUGCAGCCUCCCAGAGCACAAGAUUACAGCCAUUUGGGAUGCUUCUGACAUCUGUGGAGACCACAGUGCUGCAGCGAUGGUCUUGUCCGUUUGUCCUUCGUACUCACGCCGGCCCCUCUGCAGCUGGUUCCUUGGCGUGGAAGUGCGGGGCCCAGCAGAUGCGCUUGGAUCUGUGGUGCGGAUACCCGAGGCUCCCUGGCUCACCAGGGCCUCCUCCAAUGGAUGCAGUGCCAAGGACGGACCGAACGGUUUGGAAGGAGAAGCGCUGUCACUGUUGCAGUGUCUAAGCUGGACGCUAACAAGAAGAAGAGACCAGGCAUCCAUGUCCAGGACCGCUCUGUCCACCCCGGUGGGCUGUGGCCAAGACCUGGCUGGGACUUCAGUGACCUGUCCCUUGUAGGAAAUUUGCAAGACCUUCCACUGCAAAUGUUUCAUGCCUGCUGGAUGAGGUGGUGCAGUAAGCCCAGCAGCGGAUGGCUGCUGCUCACCCACCCAUGGCCCCAAGGAGCUGGGACUGCGCAGCUCUGGCCUCUGGCUCUCGUUUGGGGGUGUUGGUGUUGCGGGCUGCAGGCCGGGACUCCCAGCUUGGGGAGGUGCAGGGGUGCCCCACAGCGCUUCCCAGAAAGGCAGUGGCUGGCAGGGCAGAGGCUACCCUGGCCACUUCUACCCCCCUCUGGAAGGUGUAGGCUCUUCAGCUUCCGGGAGGAAGGCUCCGUCCUGGGGGGAGCGUCCACUUGCCAGAAUCCUGUGUGUGUCAGUGCAGCCCCACCUGCACUCUCCUGCGCCUGAACCCGAGCUCAGACAGAAAAGCCAGCUGCUCCCUCUGCAGACUCCAGCGCCUGACAGCACAGCAGGUCUGAAGUUGUCUCUGGAAGCCUGGGCAGACCCCGUGGAAGGACAUUGCCGGUCAGCCGGGGAAUUACAGGUUUGCAGGGCUUAGCCCAGACAGGACUCUCGGCCUGGCCUGUUUCUUGUGGACACACUGUCCACAGGCAGGGCUGCCGUGGCCCACAGCUUAGGGGCACUGUUCCUCUGGAACAGUGUGGGCCAGGCUUGGGGACACAUGCACACACACUCACAUGCACAGGGCUCAGGCUGGCCGCUGUCCACGCCUUCCUCACCCGACCUCAUUGUCCCAGUACACAAGCACCCAGCUACAUUGAAAAAGCUGGGCAGAGCCAGACAUGGGGAUGCAUACUUAUAAUCCCAGCUACUGGAAAGGCAGAAGCAGGUGGAUCUCGAGUCCAAACCCAGCCUUGCCAACUUAGGGAGAAUGUCUCAAUAAAAAAUAACAACGGCUGAGGAUGUAGCUUAGUGGUAGUGGUAAGUGACCCUGGAUUCAAUCCCCAGUACCACACACACACACGUGCAGUUAGAUGAACCAUCCUGGGAGGCCACAGGCUUCCCCAGGGCAUUGGCAGUGGACUCCCAUUGCACCCAACCUUUCAGGACCACCUCUGGCUCGAUUCAGUGAGAUGCACCUGCCCCCAGGUGACUCACGAGCACACCAGGCUCGCCACGAGAGGGGAAGCUGCCAUUCCCAAUGCAGCAGGUUGCCAGUACAUUUAUGACUUGGGAUCACGAAUCCUUAAAUCACCUGCAUGCCCUUGUAAGCAUGAUCAUAGAUCAGCUUGGAAGAGGCCUUUGCUGCAGGUGUCUUUGGCAAACCCUGGUCAAAGCUAGGAACCACGAGACCAAGGAACUCUAGCAGCUGCACUGGUCCCCAGGAAGCAACGAGAUGCUCUGGACAAGGAAGAUGUGAGUGCAAAUCGAUGAUAAUCUAAGCCUUGGUGGGGAUUUACUGAACCGUAGGUUGCUGCUGCCAGUACAGUAGCUUUGUACCUCUGGGUAGGGACUGCAAGGGACCCUCGGGACCUGCCAUGAGCAAUUCCAGACUCGUGUCCGAGGUCAUCCAGGGAGACCCAGACGUCUGCUAGGUGAGGAGAAAGCCUCGGGGUGGGGACACUUCUCCAGGGCCAAGCGGCACAGGAAGGCACAGCUGAGACCCAGCCUCAGUUCCAGCCUGGCCGGAGCCCGGGGCCCACCACACCCUCACCCUCCAAAACGGGAGAAGCCCGAGACUGUGAAUCAGAGCCCCCCGGGGAGUUUUGCUGAUACAUUUUUGUUUGCAAGUGAGAGGUUCUGCCUCUAUUAAAGUCUUUAGGAAAUUAUAGUGAUUUUGACUUUUUCAGACAUGUUUGAAUUACUCACAGUCUGGCAUUCCCAGGCAGGGGGUGGGACCCAGGAGGCUGCAGGCGUCAGGGGCCCCCAGACCGGACCGACCGAGCUAGAGGUAGAUUCUUUCAGAUUCCAAGCCCUGAGUCACCCGCUGGGAGACUGGGCUGGUAUGUGGAUUAGGUAAAGCUGGACCUGCGAGCGAGGGUAGCUGGGAGACACAGUGAAGUGAUGAACGAGACACCUGAUCUGGCAGGAUCUCACGAGGGCCAGUUCAGAACCGGGCGGACGUGAGCCUCGGGCUUACUGAUCAGGAACUGGACUGGCAGGGUUCAAAUCUAGUUCCAAGGCUGGCUUGGAGCUACAGAACUUGCCCACCCUGAGGCCCUGUUUCCCUCUGGGGAAAGUGCAGAGCAGGACAGCGCAGGCCCAGGGGAGGAUGGUGCCUGGCAUAACCAGUGCCUAUGGGAGGGCGAGGACUAAAGAAAAGACCAUAGAGACUUGUGUAGUUUCGAAGUAUACGGGAGCCAGGAGGUCAGUGCCUCAGAGCAGGCAAAGACAAGGGAGCACUCCCAGCUCACCACUAUUUAUUGGGUUCAUGGGGAGUAUCAGAUAACUCAGAGGGCAGCGAUGAUCCUAAAUUGACAAGGAUCUUAUAAUCGGAGGAAGUAUCAGAUGACUCAGAGGGUGGUGGUUAUCCUAUGACGAUGAGGAUCUUAUGCUGAUGAGGAUCUUAUGCUGAUGAGGAUCUUAGGUCAAUGAGGAAUUUAAACUGAUUAAAAUGGUGAGACCAG